This 378-nucleotide long non-coding RNA is filed under the name Trifolium pratense (red clover). RNAcentral's name for it is "long non-coding RNA (TPRA_LNC008758)". Lineage: Eukaryota; Viridiplantae; Streptophyta; Magnoliopsida; Fabales; Fabaceae. The record is from RNAcentral.
CAACACUCUAGUGGCAUGCUCUAAACACGUUGUAAAAAAAUUAGACACGUUCAACCACAUCUCAUCAUUCACAGGGAUAUUUUAGGAAUUCUCCUGCUCAAAGCCAGCCUGGACUUGCUUAUGGUUAGCUUGUACUUGUGUUUUUUCUUCUGUUUUGUUGUCUUAUUAUGUUACCAAAACAUAUAUAACAGCAACUCAUGUCUCAGUCAUAACCCAACUCUCUGAUUGAAAACCACCCAAUUCCAUUACAUACUUUACAGUGAAAUCCCAAUGGAAUAACACAAAAGUAAUAAAAACUAUGAAAUUGAGUCCUCCUUGGACAUAACCAAAAUUUCAUUACACAUGAAUGAAGAAAUAAACCUGUACAAAAAAUGUGCU